AUCCUGGCUCAGGAUGAACGCUAGCUACAGGCUUAACACAUGCAAGUCGAGGGCAGCAUGGAGUUGCUGCAAACUCUGAUGGCGACCGGCGCACGGGUGAGUAACGCGUAUCCAACCUCCCUAUAGUAGAGGAUAGCCCGGCGAAAGUCGGAUUAAUACUCUAUGUUUUCCGUUGCAGACAUCUAAGAUGGAACAAAGGCUUGCCGCUAUAGGAUGGGGAUGCGUCUGAUUAGGUAGUCGGCGGGGUAACGGCCCACCGAGCCAUCGAUCAGUAGGGUCUGAGAGGAAGGUCCCCCACAUUGGAACUGAGACACGGUCCAAACUCCUACGGGAGGCAGCAGUGAGGAAUAUUGGUCAAUGGGCGAGAGCCUGAACCAGCCAAGUAGCGUGCCAGGACGACGGCCCUAUGGGUUGUAAACUGCUUUUAUGCGGGGAUAAAGUUCACUACGUGUAGUGUUUUGUAGGUACCGCAUGAAUAAGGACCGGCUAAUUCCGUGCCAGCAGCAGC
This 508-nucleotide ribosomal RNA is filed under the name uncultured bacterium. RNAcentral describes it as "bacterial SSU rRNA". It matches the Rfam family "Bacterial small subunit ribosomal RNA", at positions 16 to 518 of the family's 1533-position model. The record is from RNAcentral.